CACGUAGGGUGCGAGCGUUGUCCGGAAUUAUUGGGCGUAAAGAGCUCGUAGGCGGUGUGUCGCGUCGGCCGUGAAAACCUGCAGCUUAACUGUGGGCUUGCGGUCGAUACGGGCGUCACUGGAGUUCGGCAGGGGAGACUGGAAUUCCUGGUGUAGCGGUGAAAUGCGCAGAUAUCAGGAGGAACACCGGUGGCGAAGGCGGGUCUCUGGGCCGAUACUGACGCUGAGGAGCGAAAGCGUGGGGAGCGAACAGG
Molecule: ribosomal RNA, 254 nt
Filed under: uncultured bacterium
Lineage: Bacteria
Description: partial 16S ribosomal RNA
Rfam family: Bacterial small subunit ribosomal RNA
Source: RNAcentral